Molecule: unclassified non-coding RNA, 758 nt
Filed under: Hevea brasiliensis (rubber tree)
Lineage: Eukaryota; Viridiplantae; Streptophyta; Magnoliopsida; Malpighiales; Euphorbiaceae
Source: RNAcentral
UGUUGUUGUUGUUGCUGUUGUUGUAACAUGAAAGCCUGUUGCUGGUUGGCCAUGGCUGCCAUCUGCACAUUUGUCGGGGCAGCUACCAUGUUGGAGACAUAAAACGGGUCAUAUCCUACAUUCUGCAUCAUGGGAGCCACCGCUGGUGCAGGUUCCCAUGGAUUAUAACUCACGUUUUGGUUGGUUUGUCUCAUUGCAUCAUCAUACAAACUAUCUAGCGUAAGUUUAUCGAGACCUCCACCCAGUUUACUAGCAGUAGCGGCACUCUCAUUCGAGCUGGGAGCUUCCACAAGAGCCAGUUCCCAGCCUGAAGUUCCAUUUGUAAAAUUUGAACCAGUUGAAGUCGGUGGGUUGGUAGAGCCAACUGGUAUGAUAGCUAAAGCCAAGGAAUUCUUCUCAUCUAGUUCUGCAACAGCCGGAGAAGGAUCGUCCAUAGACAGAAGAUCAGCAGUUUCUGCUAAAGGAGCUUCCGUUUUAACAGGUUCCGGCUUUGGUUCAGGUUCCUUUUCAGGUUCAGGUGGAGGGGGAGAAAGAGAGCCAGCAUCUUUGACCUCUGGGUCCUUUUUGUACUCGAUAGCUAAAAUAACUUUGGGUUCCGAAUCUUUCCGCACUGUAGAAGCUCGUGGUGCAUCUCUCACAUACUCCUCCAUAGCUUGUAAAAAUGAUGCAGGGGGCUGCUCAAUUUUAAUAAAUUUCUGGCCACGUCCCACGUCAAUAUUCUUACAUAUUUCGUAAAACUCUGAAAGUGCUUCCGCCUG